Molecule: transfer RNA, 68 nt
Filed under: Grammistes sexlineatus
Lineage: Eukaryota; Metazoa; Chordata; Actinopteri; Perciformes; Serranidae
Description: tRNA-Lys
Rfam family: tRNA
About the family: Transfer RNA (tRNA) molecules are approximately 80 nucleotides in length.
Source: RNAcentral
CGCUAAGAAGCUAAACAGGGUAUAAGCGUUAGCCUUUUAAGCUAAAGACUGGUGAUCCCCUUAGCGAC